UCGUGUAGAUGUACCACAGUUUUCUAAUCCAUUCAUCUACUGAUGGGCACUUAGGCUGUUUCCAGAUCUUAGCUAUGGUGAAUUGUGCUGCUAUGAACAUAUGGGUGCAUAUAUCAGGAAAGCGGUUUUCUUAGAUAAAGUCAGGAACAUGGGCUCCUGAAGAAACAGCCACAGCAAAGCAGGGCCCACGGAGAGCAAGCCACUGCCUCCACGGAAGGCGGGGCUCGGCCCUUCUCACGGACGGUCCCGGCCUCCCCUGUACCCAGUCACCCCUGCACUUGGCCACCCCUGCACCCGGUCACCCCUGCACCCGGUCACCCCUGUACCUGGUCAGCCAUGCACCCGGUCAGCCCUACACCUGGUCAGCCAUGCACCCGGUCAGCCCUGCACCUGGUCACCCCUGCACCCUGCCUGCCCUGCACCCCGAGAAGGUGCCGCGUGGGGAAGCGUUCACUCGGGCAAGAGCGGGAAAGAUCUUGGUAGAUGACUUAGGAGACUUCGUGGAGAUUUCAAGACAAGGAUGGAAGUUUAAAAAGAAAGCUGGACAGUGAGGCUCUGGAGGUUUCCACCCAGGAAGGACUCACAGGUUCCCUGAGCCCAGGAGACACGUCUAAGGGGGUCCCGGCCCCAGACCCUGGGCUCUCCUGUGGAUUUCCUAUCUGUUUCCUGCCCAAUAAGCACACGCAGUUCGUACGCAUCCCCAGUGUCUGCAGAGGCCAGACCAGGACCCGUGGGAAGCGAUGGCCAGAGGGACUGUGGUGAUGCCCACAGGUGAGCCCUGGGGCAGCUGGCCUCCUGGGAGGGACGCUAGGAGCUUUGCCACCUGUGUUUCCAGCAGGAACCUUCCGGCAGGACCUUGAGGUGGUGCCCCCCAGGCCCCCCAGCUGCCGCCGGCCCCAGGCUGUGGGCUCCUGCCUUUCAUCUGGGCUCUGCCUGCCCGGAGCCUGUUUGGUUUGCUCCCCGAAGGCAAACAGACCCCUCAGCACUGCCUCCCAGGAGCUGGCCGAGACUGUUCGCGGGAAGGUGAGAAAAAAUAAAACCGAAAUGGAAAGAAGUGCCGCUGGGAAUUCAAUCCGAACCAGUGUUCGGAGAGCUGAGGCCCUGUGUCCACCAGGAGGGCAAACCCUGCUUUAGGGGACGACCCAGGAGAACAUUCAAGAAACAUGGAGCCCGCAGGUGUGCUCAGUGGGUGAGCGUCGACCUAUGAACUGGGAGGUCACGGUUCGAUUCCCGGUCAGGGCACAGGCCCGGGUUGCAGGCCUGAUCCCUGGUGGGCCGUGCAGGAGGCGGCCGAUCCAUGAUUCUCUCUCAUCAUGGAUGUCUCUCUCCCUCCCUCUCCCUCCCUCCCCUGUCCUCCAUUACUCUUUCAUGAAUAAUUAUUUGUGUCUACGUUGCGCCCCCAAACUUUGAAACUAGGCAGAAUCCACAGGGCCACAGAGGAGUGUCUUGUUCCCGCCGUGCAGGGGACGGGGCCACGCGUGGGAACCCGUUGCAGCUGACGGCACCCCUCGCCGUUCCGUGGAUUUAGCAACACCUCUGUCCUGGUUUAUGGCUCCGGCUGCUGAUUGCUGUGGCCACACGCGCCAUCGGACCCUGUCACCCUGCAGGCGCCCCCUAUGUCGGCGCCCCGGGUCCAGCGGCUGCGAAGUGAGGCUGAGCUCCGUGUGGCACAAAUGGCAUCAGCGACCUCGAGCAGGCACACGCCAAGUGGAGUCCCUGGUUCUAGGAACCGACCGGAGCCGCCUCUUCGAUCCAGGAUCAAACUUUGGUUCUGCCUCUUGCUGGGAAGACACCUUCCGCUGUGUUUACAGGGUGCAAACAUGGACUCCAUCCGACGAGGGCGAUUUAACAUGAAUUCCCUUCUCCGAUUUGCUGUCUGUUUAGACCCAGCUCUGGCGGCCAUUCAGGACGGUUGUUUGAACCCGGGACCCAAUGCUGGAGUGAAGGUGGCUCCCUCUCCCCUUGGGGGUCUGGGUGGCCGUGGACUUGUGCCAGCAGGCUGUCCCGGGAAGUCCCCGGGGAUGUCGGGGUCUGGGAGGGUUAGGGGACCGGCCUCGCCCAGCCCCGCACUCAGCUGUGGGCCAUGGGGAGGGUGGGCCUGCACCCCACCCCCCAGCAGGCAGCCAGCCUGAGGCCUCCCCCUCCCUUCCCUCCCUCUCAGCUCAGCUCAGCGUGGGUGUCAGGGAAAUCAUUAAGGCCCGGCGCCCCCACACCUGGGCGGGGUUCCCUGCUGUAACUUUAUGGCCCCAGGAGGCAGGUUUGACGCCAGGAAUAGCUUCUGCCAACAGCUGCAGAGAGCCUGCUCCCCAGACAGUAAAAUGUAAAGAGGGAGGAGAGGCGGCCUUUGAAGUUUACAAAACAGCAUGGCUUUGACCACUUCCUCUUUCCUCUUCAAUUGGUGUCCCAGGUGUGCGUCCCCCCAUCAGGGCUGCGGGCUCCCGGCGCUCUCCCAGGCCCCCCCGCCUGCCUCGGGGACCUCACUGUGAGGAGCCAAGGAAUCGGACCGUGGCCCCUGCUCAUAGUCAGCGCUCAACCACGGAGCCACGCCGCCGGGCACGUUCACAUCUCUUCACGCUGUUACCGACUUCCUUCUCAGCGCCCUCCAGCCGCAGCUCGCAGAGUUCGCUACGUGUGUUUUCAUUUUAACUCUGUUCAGUAUGCCUUUAAUGUCCUCGAGCCUCCUCUUGGACCCACGGAUUAUAUGGGGGGUUGCUGGCUGCUUCCCCCCGAUGCUCUUUUCCUGGUCUCCCCCCACCCGCUGCUCCGUCCGUGGCUGAGAUGCGGGGAUGGGUCCUGCCUUAAGGGGUCGAGGAGGCCAAACCUGGACCCGGAGAAAGAGCUUGGCUUCUAACGAGGCCUGACCCCACCCCGUCCUGAGGGAGAGGGGCCCCCAGGGGGACCACGUGCAUCUCCUAGCAUGGGUUACCCCUGAAGACACGGGCGGAAAUCCGUCUUCUCGAAACUGACGCAAGCACGCAGAUUUUAAGGAGUAAAAGCGAUUUAGCAAGAACAUGUGAUUUCAAAGAAACUGCUCUCGAUGCCAGCUGGGGCCCAGAUGGCUGUGGGCUCCUUCCCUCCGAUAGCAGGGAGGUAGUCAAGCCCAGACCCUGGCCCAGGUCCUGCCCUGAGUGGUGGGAACUUGAACUUGGAUCACUGGUCCCAGGUCAGGUGACAGCUCCCCAAGGAUGCAGGGUGGCGGCAGGACUGGGGGAACCUGGCCUUUUCUUGGAGCCCCUGGAGCAAGGCUCCCUCAGAAUGAGGGUGUGUGAAGGGGGGGCAGCCACAGCCGGCUUUCCCAGCACAGAGCUUGGAGCUGCGCCAGGCCUGCCUGGUCUCCCUGCCUCUGGUCUCCCUGUCCAGGUCUCCCGCUCAUGUGCUGGGUGGCAGCUCCGAGGGGCCAGGUCCUGGGAGAGCCGUGUUAGGUGGAAGGCCUCUCCCCCGAGACACCACGCGGCCCCCACCAGCCCCUGGGUGCGGAGGGUGACACCCUGCUCAUUUGUGGAGAAAAGUGUCUCCCUGUUUCAGUGACCCCUUCAGGCCCCGCAUUAGCCCCUGAACGAGGCAGCCGCAGUUUUGACGGAAGAGAGACAUGCGGCCUUUCUUGUUGCCAUUUAGGGGCUAGUGAUGCCUGUUCCCCUAGAAUCAGGGCGCAGAGGUGAGGAACUGGCAACAUGGCGGGAGGUGGCUGGCCGGGGGCAGGCAGAGGCGGACGCUGCUGGGCCCCAGGCCAGGCUGGGACCCGUGAACUGCUCGGCGGUCAGGGGACCCUCAGCGGGCGUCCGUGCAUAGCAAGCGGGUUUGGUCGGCGUUUCUGGUGGAAAUACAGGUGUUUGCUGCGUCCUCUCCCCACUCCAUGCCCAUCUCGAGGGCAGGAGGCUUCUCUCCGCUGAGCUGGGUUUGCCCAGGAGCUCACCUCCUCCUGCGGGAAGCCCCCCUGGAUUUACAGCCGUCACCGGUCCUGCCACGCGGGCGGAAAGGGCCCUCCCUGGAGUGCAUUCCUCAGCGGCUUGAGCUCCCUGACGGCUGUGUGUCCUCCGCAGCCCCCAGCGCUUUUCCUGGAAGCGCAAUCUGUCAAGCAGCUGCUGCGGGAGCUAAUAAAGCCUGUUUGU
Molecule: long non-coding RNA, 4109 nt
Organism: Myotis myotis
Lineage: Eukaryota; Metazoa; Chordata; Mammalia; Chiroptera; Vespertilionidae
Exons: 3
Source: RefSeq, a predicted model, not a curated record